Molecule: ribosomal RNA, 437 nt
Filed under: Wolbachia pipientis
Lineage: Bacteria; Pseudomonadati; Pseudomonadota; Alphaproteobacteria; Rickettsiales; Anaplasmataceae
Description: bacterial SSU rRNA
Rfam family: Bacterial small subunit ribosomal RNA
Source: RNAcentral
CAUACCUAUUCGAAGGGAUAGGGUCGGUUUGGCCGGAUUUCACACAGGUGUUGCAUGGCUGUCGCCAGCUCGUGUCGUGAGAUGUUGGGUUAAGUCCCGCAACGAGCGCAACCCUCAUCCUUAGUUACCAUCAGGUUAUGCUGGGGACUUUAAGGAAACUGCCAGUGAUAAACUGGAGGAAGGUGGGGAUGAUGUCAAGUCAUCAUGGCCCUUAUGGAGUGGGCUACACACGUGCUACAAUGGUGAUUACAAUGGGCUGCAAGGUCGCAAGGCUGAGCUAAUCCUAAAAAAUCAUCUCAGUUCGGAUUGUUCUCUGCAACUCGAGAGCAUGAAGUUGGAAUCGCUAGUAAUCGUGGAUCAGCAUGCCACGGUGAAUACGUUCUCGGGUCUUGUACACACUGCCCGUCACGCCAUGGGAAUUGGUUUCACUCGAAGCU